Molecule: unclassified non-coding RNA, 382 nt
Filed under: Papiliotrema flavescens
Lineage: Eukaryota; Fungi; Basidiomycota; Tremellomycetes; Tremellales; Rhynchogastremaceae
Description: sequence contains 18S rRNA gene, ITS1, 5.8S rRNA gene and ITS2
Rfam family: 5.8S ribosomal RNA (bases 109-262)
Source: RNAcentral
GAUUGGUCGAAAGACCUUAUCAGAUUCUACCACCUCUGUGAACCGUUGACCUCCGGGUUAAUAAUCAAACAUCAGUGUAACGAACGUAAGAGUAUCUUAAUUAAACAAAACUUUUAACAACGGAUCUCUUGGCUCUCGCAUCGAUGAAGAACGCAGCGAAAUGCGAUAAGUAAUGUGAAUUGCAGAAUUCAGUGAAUCAUCGAAUCUUUGAACGCACCUUGCGCCUUUUGGUAUUCCGAAAGGCAUGCCUGUUUCAGUGUCAUGAAAUCUCAAUCUAAUAUGUUUUCUGAACAUGUUAGGCUUGGACUUGGGUGUCUGCCAGCAAUGGCUCACCUCAAAUGACUUAGUGGAACAUCCCACAUCAGUGUUAGACGUAAUAAGU